RNAcentral lists this ribosomal RNA (253 nucleotides) under uncultured bacterium. Its description in RNAcentral is "partial 16S ribosomal RNA". It matches the Rfam family "Bacterial small subunit ribosomal RNA", at positions 524 to 776 of the family's 1533-position model. The record is from RNAcentral.
UACGUAGGGUCCGAGCGUUGUCCGGAAUUAUUGGGCGUAAAGGGCGCGUAGGCGGCCUUCUAAGUCGAACGUGAAAUCCCUGGGCUCAACCCAGGAACUGCGUCCGAUACUGGAAGGCUUGAAUCCGGGAGAGGGAUGCGGAAUUCCAGGUGUAGCGGUGAAAUGCGUAGAUAUCGGGAGGAACACCAGUGGCGAAGGCGACUUCCUGGCCUGUUCUUGACGCUGAGGCGCGAAAGCUAGGGUAGCAAACGGG